CUCGCCAUAGUUCAAUGGAUAGAACGGUCCCCUCCUAAGGGACAGAUGUAGGUUCGAUUCCUGCUGGCGGGACCA
Molecule: transfer RNA, 75 nt
Filed under: Rhodoferax sp.
Lineage: Bacteria; Pseudomonadati; Pseudomonadota; Betaproteobacteria; Burkholderiales; Comamonadaceae
Also listed under: 1 other name
Description: tRNA-Arg
Rfam family: tRNA
About the family: Transfer RNA (tRNA) molecules are approximately 80 nucleotides in length. Their secondary structure includes four short double-helical elements and three loops (D, anti-codon, and T loops).
Source: RNAcentral